GACGAACGCUGGCGGCGUGCUUAACACAUGCAAGUCGAACGGAAAGGCCCUGCUUUUGUGGGGUGCUCGAGUGGCGAACGGGUGAGUAACACGUGAGUAACCUGCCCUUGACUUUGGGAUAACUUCAGGAAACUGGGGCUAAUACCGGAUAGGAGCUCCUGCUGCAUGGUGGGGGUUGGAAAGUUUCGGCGGUUGGGGAUGGACUCGCGGCUUAUCAGCUUGUUGGUGGGGUAGUGGCUUACCAAGGCUUUGACGGGUAGCCGGCCUGAGAGGGUGACCGGGCACAGUGGGACUGGGGUACGGCCCAGACGCCUACGGGAGGCAGCAGUGGGGAAUAUUGCACAAUGGGCGGAAGCCUGAUGCAGCAACGCCGCGUGCGGGAGGACGGCCUUCGGGUUGUAAACCGCUUUCGCCGGUGACGAAGCGUGAGUGACGGUAAUGGGUAAAGAAGCACCGGCUAACUACGUG
RNAcentral lists this ribosomal RNA (468 nucleotides) under uncultured bacterium. RNAcentral's name for it is "partial 16S ribosomal RNA". It matches the Rfam family "Bacterial small subunit ribosomal RNA", at positions 28 to 507 of the family's 1533-position model. The record is from RNAcentral.